This 1895-nucleotide long non-coding RNA is filed under the name Chinchilla lanigera (long-tailed chinchilla). Its description in RNAcentral is "lncRNA (ENSCLAG00000023433.1)". The record is from RNAcentral. Lineage: Eukaryota; Metazoa; Chordata; Mammalia; Rodentia; Chinchillidae.
AACAAAACUACGAAGUCAGUCUGACUAUCAUCACAACUCCGCUGGAUGAAGGAUGAAGCCCCGGAGAGGCUAAGCAACUCAUUCAGCUUCCUACCAUGGAAUUUCCUCACAGCAUUCUCGCAGCCCUUCUGCAAGGAGAGCGUGCUAAGUGAUCUCUCACGUCCCACAGCGCUGCCAGCCUGGGCUCCUCGUGCGAUCCCAGCCUUAACUGCAUCAAGAUCCCAGUGUACACUGCAGCCCGGGCCCCUCCCUCUGCCACCGUGGCCUGGGCAACAGCACCCUUCCACCAGGACUGUGGCGCCAGGGAGGAGAGAGGUUUCCAGGGUCGGGUUCCUCCAGCUCCACGGCCGUGGUGCCAGGCUCUGCAGCCCUUCCCACCUCCUCCCCACUGCGCAAACCCAGGCAAACGAGUUCACAUUUUUAAGCCUUUAAAGUUGCUUUCUUCUCUUCCAUUUUGAUGAAAGGACUGUUGUGAAAACCUGGGUUUCGGAGGCCUGGCCCAGUACACCGUGGCAUGACUGCCCUGUGUGAAGUUCGCAGGGACGCCUGUGGUCAGCGUUUGUUCUUUUGCACUUCUGGUUGCCCGCUGCUGUGAAUUCCUCCACGUUUCAUCCUCCACUUCCCCGGCUGCCUUUGCUGGGUGCUUGUGUCUUCCACUAAUUCUUCAAUGUCGAGAAUGCCCCAUGUGACUUCUACAGGAAGAUCCUUGGACAAGGAAAGGAAAGCAAAGUUUGGGUCAAAUUAUCUUGGCCAGAGGGAAGACUUUGAGAUUAGAGUCAACUGCUGACUUGGCCAUUCCCACAGCUGCUCUGCAGAUCUUCUGUUUGAAGAGGGGGGGAUGCUGUCUUGCUUUUCAAGCAGAUGGCUUGGGAUGAGGUCGGCCACUUUUCCACUCUGGGGCUCGGGGGUCUUGGCUUUGCCCGCAGGGGAUGCUCUCACCAUUUGCACCCUCUGUGCCUCGUAUCCUCUUCUUGUCUGUGGUUUAGGGAUGUUCAGCUUGAUAAAAUGCAAUGACCACGGCAGGGCUGCACCUUAGGAUUACCUGUUGAAGCCUGCCAGGGUCCCACGUGGGGUGCUAAAAUCUAGCAUGUGCUCAGCAUGCCGGGCUGUGUACCUGCCACAUGACUGUAUACCUGUGCUGGUGAGGAGGUUCCUAGGGCUUCUAAUUGCUCAGGGAUCCAGGGAGGUAGGUAUAGACCUGAAUCACCGGCUUUCCUGAUGGCCUCGCACAUUUUAGUGUUUUUGUGUGCAUUUGUAGACUGGAUUUAUCAUUACUGUUGAAAAUUCAGAUCAACUACCCUGAUGCCUGCUUCUGCCAAUAAUAAUCGGGCUCUUCCAGCAUUGCAGAUGUAGUUCAUCAGGGCAAAUCCUCACGUAGUCUGUUUGUGUUCUUUGCCCCUACCUUCUUCCCCGCUUGUUUCCCUCCCUCUCUGGCUUUCAGUUCAUGCUGCAUUACCACCGCGGGCUGUGUAUUCUCCCUCCCUCUGCCUCCCCAUAUAUGCUUUUCUAUCCCAGUUCCCCACUCUCAUUCAAGGAGUUUCAUAAGCAUUUUAUGGUAGUAUUGUUGCACAACAUAAACUGUUCUUUGUGCAAGGCUGUAGGCUGCAGAAAUUGUAUAGUGCUAUAAAUACCAUUUUGAUAUUCCUCCACUUGGCACAACGUUACCAAGAUAUAGCUAGUUAAGUGUUGCAUUGCUUUAUUCCCUUGCCCAUUCUCUUUGGUCUGCUUGCUUUCUGGUCUGCUUGCUUAUCGACGCAAGGCACAGUUGAAGUGUCCCUUCAUUCUGAAGUCUCUCCUCCUUCCUCCAGAGUAAGGCUCCCUCUUCUGGGCCUCCACCGCAUUUGUUCCUUAUUCUGUUGCUGUAACCGUGGUCUUAUUUUGCAAUGAAUAAAAAC